AUGAAGACAACGAUCUUGUUAGCUGUUGUAGUGGCAGUCAUUGUUGGAGGUAAAUAUCUUUAUUGAAAUAUAUUUGUUUUGCGUACGUAAUUUAUUUAGAAGUAUAGAUCCAAUAUUUUUUAAGAUAAAAAUACGGCAGACCGACUUUUCCAAAAUUUGAUUGCGAAACCCAUAUUUGUAUAUUAUGUAAAAUUGUACUACUUUAUUGUAAUAUUUUUCAUUAAUAAAUACUGUUUUAUGUAAGAUAAAUUGUUAAUGUUUACAACUGAAAUAUGUUUUGUUAUUAAAAUUCAAUCAUUUAAAUAUUCAAACAAAAUAUUUUUUUUUCUUUAUACGUGUUGUUCAGUUUGUAGUUUUCUAUGCUAUGCUUUGUAUACUGUUGUUUGUCUUUUGCCAUGUCGUUGUCAGUAGAUUUUUAACUUAUGAUAUCGAAUGUCCCUGUGGUAUAUUUUGUCUCUCUUUUAGACAGGCCUUCGUUAUUUGUGCAUUAUUUAAUCAAUUUUAUUUUAUUUAUUUUUUCUCCGUUUUUUAUUUAUAAGUUCAGGAAGUCCAAUCAGUACCUUGUGCAUCAACUAACUGUGCUUGGUUCUGUGGGUCUCUAAAGGUUGCUCAUUAUAUAGAUGUUACAGACGUACUUAUCCCGUAAGUUGCUACUGCCUAUCAUUGUAGAAGAGCUGAGUCUCCAUUGACACUUUCUGGAAGCGCUAGGAAUGUGAACGAGCAGAACAAAGAGAUGGACAACUCUCCAAUGUAAGUACAAUACAAGACUUCGUUACAUAAUAUAAACGUUUACAAAUUUACAAAUGAAAAACAUUGUAUUCUACAUGCCAACAUAUACUGUAUUUAAGGUAUAUCAUUUUUUUAAACAGAUCAUUUGAAUUUUUUUUAAAUAAAGCAUUUCAUCUUUGUUUAAUUCAAUAGGUCGUUAUCGUCUGCACGUAUUAUUUACAGUCAUAAACACAUGAACUACUCCUGCAAGAGAAGGAAGGGAUGUUUUUUUUUGAUAUUGGUUAAUGUGUUGGGAGGCAGAUAAGAUAUUCGUUUAUUGUGUCUCUCAAUUAUUUACAUUCAAAAACAUUUUUACAUAAAUCGAUCACUGGUCAAUUGCACGAGAAUAGUCAGAAAAAAAACUGUUAUAUGAAACGUUUUAAUUGAAUUUGUGAAAAAAAAAACGCCACAUAUAAGAGAACAUCUACUUUGUUUCAGGAUGAAUGAGAUGGAACAUUUGGACCAAGAAAUGGAUAUGUUCUAG
Molecule: long non-coding RNA, 1252 nt
Filed under: Mytilus galloprovincialis (Mediterranean mussel)
Lineage: Eukaryota; Metazoa; Mollusca; Bivalvia; Mytilida; Mytilidae
Source: RNAcentral